UUCCGGUUGAUCCUGCCGGACCUGACUGCUAUCGGAUUGAUACUAAGCCAUGCGAGUCAUUGUAGUAAUACAAGGCAGACGGCUCAGUAACGCGUAGUCAACCUAACCUAUGGACGGGAAUAACCUCGGGAAACUGAGUAUAAUGCCCGAUAGAACAUUAUGCCUGGAAUGGUUUAUGUUCCAAAUGAUUUAUCGCCGUAGGAUGGGACUGCGGCCUAUCAGUUUGUUGGUGAGGUAAUGGCCCACCAAGACUAUUACAGGUACGGGCUCUGAGAGGAGUAGCCCGGAGAUGGGUACUGAGACACGGACCCAGGCCCUAUGGGGCGCAGCAGGCGAGAAAACUUUGCAAUGUGCGAAAGCACGACAAGGUUAAUCCGAGUGGUUUGUGCUAAACGAACCUUUUGUUAGUCCUAGAAACACUAACGAAUAAGGGGUGGGCAAGUUUCUGGUGUCAGCCGCCGCGGUAAACCAGCACCUCAAGUGGUCAGGAUGAUUAUUGGGCCUAAAGCAUCCGUAGCCGGUCCUGUAAGUUUUCGGUUAAAUCUGUACGCUUAACGUACAGGCUGCCGGAAAUACUGCAGGACUAGGGAGUGGGAGAGGUAGACGGUACUCGGGAGGAAGGGGUAAAAUCCUUUGAUCUCUCGAUGACCACCUGUGGCGAAGGCGGUCUACCAGAACACGUCCGACGGUGAGGGAUGAAAGUUGGGGGAGCAAACCGGAUUAGAUACCCGGGUAGUCCCAACCGUAAACUAUGCAAACUCAGUGAUGCAUUGACUUGUGGUCAAUGCAGUGCUGCAGGGAAGCCGUUAAGUUUGCCGCCUGGGAAGUACGUACGCAAGUAUGAAACUUAAAGGAAUUGGCGGGGGAGCACCACAAGGGGUGAAGCCUGCGGUUCAAUUGGAGUCAACGCC
Molecule: ribosomal RNA, 911 nt
Filed under: uncultured crenarchaeote
Lineage: Archaea; Thermoproteati; Thermoproteota
Description: bacterial SSU rRNA
Rfam family: Archaeal small subunit ribosomal RNA
Source: RNAcentral